Molecule: ribosomal RNA, 403 nt
Filed under: uncultured bacterium
Lineage: Bacteria
Description: bacterial SSU rRNA
Rfam family: Bacterial small subunit ribosomal RNA
Source: RNAcentral
GGGGAAUCUUGCACAAUGGGGGAAACCCUGAUGCAGCGAUGCCGCGUGAGUGAAGAAGGCCUUUGGGUUGUAAAACUCUUUCGUCGGGGAAGAAAAUGACUGUACCCGAAUAAGAAGGUCCGGCUAACUUCGUGCCAGCAGCCGCGGUAAUACGAAGGGACCUAGCGUAGUUCGGAAUUACUGGGCUUAAAGAGCUCGUAGGUGGUUAAAAAAGUUGAUGGUGAAAUCCCAAGGCUCAACCUUGGAACUGCCAUCAAAACUUUUUAGCUAGAGUGUGAUAGAGGUAAGUGGAAUUUCUAGUGUAGAGGUGAAAUUCGUAGAUAUUAGAAAGAACACCAAAUGCGAAGGCAACUUACUGGGUCACUACUGACACUGAGGAGCGAAAGCAUGGGUAGCGAAGAGG